This 279-nucleotide ribosomal RNA is filed under the name uncultured bacterium. RNAcentral describes it as "partial 16S ribosomal RNA". It matches the Rfam family "Bacterial small subunit ribosomal RNA", at positions 506 to 784 of the family's 1533-position model. The record is from RNAcentral.
UGCCAGCCGCCGCGGUAAUACGAAGGUGGCGAGCGUCGUUCGGAUUUACUGGGCGUAAAGCGUGCGUAGGCGGAUCGACAAGUUGGGGGUGAAAUCCCGGGGCUUAACCCCGGAACUGCCCUCAAAACUGUCGAUCUAGAGACCGGGAGAGGUAAGCGGAAUUCCUAGUGUAGAGGUGAAAUUCGUAGAUAUUAGGAAGAACACCAGUGGCGAAGGCGACUUCCUGGGCCAAUACUGACGCUGAGGUGCGAAAGCGUGGGGAGCAAACAGGAUUAGAUA